Sapajus apella (tufted capuchin) is the source of this 1746-nucleotide long non-coding RNA. RefSeq lists it as uncharacterized. The record is from RefSeq and is a predicted model, not a curated record. The transcript has 2 exons. NCBI's taxonomy places the organism in Eukaryota, Metazoa, Chordata, Mammalia, Primates, Cebidae.
CCCAGCCCCAGGCUUGCUGAGGCAGUGUGAGAACGGGCGGUGAGAAGGCUGGAUGGGCUGAGAAACAUGAAAGGCUCCUAUUUAUAAUCCCACCCAGAGUGGGGGGGUCAGGUGCCAGACCUGGCCUGAACUGCACCACGGAAGUCCCCAGCGGGUUCUCCUGUGACACGGGGCCUGUGCAGCCCAGAACCUCGGCCACUGUGCCCCACAGGGUGGGCUGUGCCAGCCGGGGUCAGGCCGCAGGACUCCCAGGCUGGCUUGUCCUUGAGGGGCAGUGGCCGAUGGCUGCCAGUUCCUGCCAAUACACAGGUGGGAUGGGACCCUUCGUUAAUAUCUGACUUUAAUAAGUUGGCAAGGAUAUAUUUUUUUGUCUACAUUCUGUUUCAACUUAUGUAGAUUAUAAAUUGAUGUAAACCAUGUGAAAGGAAAAUGUUAAUAAAAAAAUGCAAAGCCCCAACAUUUGCACAAAACUCAGCCCUGCGGUGUGGAUGUUUGUGUUCGCCGUGGUCCGGGGAAGCCACGAAUCUAAAUAUUUAACUCUUCCAGCUGCAUCCAGAUGUGAGUUUCCAAGCAUGUUUACCUAGUUCACUCCCCUUGAGCCUCCCUGUGGCCAUGGGGGCUGAGGCAGAGCUGGGGGAGGUGGGCUCGAGGCCUCUCCUUGCUCCUCACAAGGCCCCCGAUCAGCCAGCAUCCAGGCCACUUGUGGUCUCGCCUUGGGCAUUUGUGUACAGUUCCUUUCGCAAAGUGAAAAUGUCCACCCGGGACCUGGCCAUGGCACAAGGUUGUCCAUUGAAGAGGAAGCUGCUUAUUUUCUGUGAUCACUUCUCUACAUCUUCCUUCCACGUGGUAUAUCUUUGAGGCGGCCUCUGGUCUAACCUGCUUGUCAGAGAAGCUGGAUCCCCGAGGCCCCCCCGCUUUGGGAGAGCAGUGGCGUUGAUGUAGGCUCCCACCAGCCUCAGCAACUGGACACUGAGUUUAUUCUGAAGAUCAGGAACAGAUGUCUCUGAAAAUUGCUGUUUGGUUUAUGAGCUCAUACUGGCUCCACAGCCAUCUAAAACAGGAAACGAUUCAUCUCCUCUCGAGUGAAUAGGCAGUGUGGGCAAUGGCUGGCUUACUGAACCGACAGCCACUGACAGUGCCCCCUCCCCCCAGCUUGUGGCAUUUCUUGUACUGGGUCCCACGUGCUAAACGGAAAGACAGAAGAUCCCAGACACCCCAGGACUGCGCCAGGUAGGAGUGUCCGACGGCCCUUUCCACGUGCUAGAUGGGAAGUCAGAAGAUCCCAGGCACCCCAGGACCACACCAGGUGCCAGGUAGGAGUGUCUGAUGACCCUUUCCACGUACUAGACUGAAAGUCAGAAGAUCCCAGGCACCCCAGGACCACGCCAGGCGCCAGGUAGGAGCACCUAAUGGCCCUUGCUUCAGAGUGCUGGUGCCCUGUAUUCGGGGGCAGUAGAGGAAACAGUGUCUCCUGGGCUCUGGGGAGUUCUCCAGCUGGCCUAGCAGUGAUGAAGCCUCCUAGCUGUGAGAGAGGGAGGGGCGUUAUAUAGAAUUCACCAUACAAGGACAUGAGCCCUGAGCUCACAUUCAUUCCCAGGAAAUGGCAAACACGGCCCGGGGAAGGUGCCACCAGCUGGGUUUGAUCAUCACUCACACACAGACAACACUCGGGACGCCAUGUAUGCCGAGUCUGAAGUCUGGCUAAGAGCGCGUGGGCUAGAAGACAGGGCAGAGGAGGAAGAAGGC